RNAcentral lists this ribosomal RNA (579 nucleotides) under uncultured bacterium. RNAcentral describes it as "bacterial SSU rRNA". It matches the Rfam family "Bacterial small subunit ribosomal RNA", at positions 337 to 916 of the family's 1533-position model. The record is from RNAcentral.
UCCUACGGGAGGCAGCAGUGAGGAAUAUUGGACAAUGGAGGCAACUCUGAUCCAGCCAUGCCGCGUGCAGGAAGAAUGCCCUAUGGGUUGUAAACUGCUUUUAUUUGGGAAUAAACCUUCUUACGUGUAGGAAGCUGAAUGUACCAAACGAAUAAGGACCGGCUAACUCCGUGCCAGCAGCCGCGGUAAUACGGAGGGUCCAAGCGUUAUCCGGAAUCAUUGGGUUUAAAGGGUCCGCAGGCGGAUUUGUAAGUCAGUGGUGAAAUCCUACAGCUUAACUGUAGAACUGCCAUUGAUACUGCAAGUCUUGAAUUCGGUCGAAGUGGGCGGAAUAUGUCAUGUAGCGGUGAAAUGCUUAGAUAUGACAUAGAACACCGAUAGCGAAGGCAGCUCACUAGGCCUGGAUUGACGCUCAGGGACGAAAGCGUGGAGAGCGAACAGGAUUAGAUACCCUGGUAGUCCACGCCGUAAACUAUGAUUACUCGUUUUCGGCGAUAUACAGUCGGAGACUAAGCGAAAGUGAUAAGUAAUCCACCUGGGGAGUACGAUCGCAAGGUUGAAACUCAAAUGAAUUGACGG